This 701-nucleotide ribosomal RNA is filed under the name Lutibacter sp. Its description in RNAcentral is "bacterial SSU rRNA". It matches the Rfam family "Bacterial small subunit ribosomal RNA", at positions 28 to 720 of the family's 1533-position model. Lineage: Bacteria; Pseudomonadati; Bacteroidota; Flavobacteriia; Flavobacteriales; Flavobacteriaceae. The record is from RNAcentral.
GAUGAACGCUAGCGGCAGGCUUAACACAUGCAAGUCGAGGGGUAACAGGGAAGAGCUUGCUUUUCCGCUGACGACCGGCGCACGGGUGAGUAACGCGUAUAGAACCUACCUUUUACAGGGGAAUAGCCCAGAGAAAUUUGGAUUAAUGCCCUAUAGUAUUAUUGAAUGGCAUCAUUUAGUAAUUAAACAUUUAUGGGUAAAAGAUGGCUAUGCGUUCUAUAAGCUAGAUGGUAAGGUAACGGCUUACCAUGGCAACGAUAGAUAGGGGUCCUGAGAGGGAGAUCCCCCACACUGGUACUGAGACACGGACCAGACUCCUACGGGAGGCAGCAGUGAGGAAUAUUGGACAAUGGAGGCAACUCUGAUCCAGCCAUGCCGCGUGCAGGAAGACGGCCCUAUGGGUUGUAAACUGCUUUUAUACGGGAAGAAACCCAACUACGUGUAGUUGGCUGACGGUACCGUAAGAAUAAGCACCGGCUAACUCCGUGCCAGCAGCCGCGGUAAUACGGAGGGUGCAAGCGUUAUCCGGAAUCAUUGGGUUUAAAGGGUCCGUAGGCGGGCUAAUAAGUCAGGGGUGAAAUCCAACAGCUUAACUGUUGAACUGCCUUUGAUACUGUUAGUCUUGAAUUAUAUGGAAGUAGAUAGAAUGUGUAGUGUAGCGGUGAAAUGCUUAGAGAUUACACAGAAUACCGAUUGCGAAG